GACGAACGCUGGCGGCGUGCUUAACACAUGCAAGUCGAACGGAAAGGCCCUGCUUUUUUGGGGUGCUCGAUUGGCGAACGGGUGAGUAACACGUGAGUAACCUGCCCUUGACUUUGGGAUAACUUCAGGAAACUGGGCCUAAUACCGGAUAGGAGCUCCUCCUGCAGGGUGGGGGUUGGAAAGUUUCGGCGGUUGGGGAUGGACUCGCGGCUUACCGGCUUGUUGGUGGGGUAGUGGCUUACCAAGGCUUUGACGGGUAGCCGGCCUGAGAGGGUGACCGGCCACAUUGGGACUGAGAUACGGCCCAGAGUCCUACGGGAGGCAGCAGUGGGGAAUAUUGCACAAUGGGCGGAAGCCUGAUGCAGCAACGCCGCGUGCGGGAUGACGGCCUUCGGGUUGUAAACCGCUUUCGCCUGUGACGAAGCGUGAGUGACGGUAAUGGGUAAAGAAGCACCGGCUAACUACGUG
Molecule: ribosomal RNA, 468 nt
Filed under: uncultured bacterium
Lineage: Bacteria
Description: partial 16S ribosomal RNA
Rfam family: Bacterial small subunit ribosomal RNA
Source: RNAcentral